CCUACGGGAGGCAGCAGUGAGGAAUAUUGGUCAAUGGACGAGAGUCUGAACCAGCCAAGUAGCGUGAAGGAUGACGGCCCUAUGGGUUGUAAACUUCUUUUAUAGGGGAAUAAAAUGUGCCACGUGUGGGAUUUUGUAUGUACCAGAUGAAUAAGGAUCGGCUAACUCCGUGCCAGCAGCCGCGGUAAUACGGAGGAUCCGAGCGUUAUCCGGAGUUAUUGGGGUUAAAGGGAGCGUAGGUGGAUUGUUCAGUCCGUGGUGAAAGUUUGCGGCUCAACCGUAAAAUUGCCGUUUAAACUGGCAUUCUUGAGUACAGUAGAGGUGGGCGGAAUUCGUGGUGUAGCGG
This 346-nucleotide ribosomal RNA is filed under the name uncultured bacterium. Its description in RNAcentral is "partial 16S ribosomal RNA". It matches the Rfam family "Bacterial small subunit ribosomal RNA", at positions 338 to 681 of the family's 1533-position model. The record is from RNAcentral.